Molecule: long non-coding RNA, 704 nt
Filed under: Bos mutus (wild yak)
Lineage: Eukaryota; Metazoa; Chordata; Mammalia; Artiodactyla; Bovidae
Description: lncRNA (ENSBMUG00000017900.1)
Source: RNAcentral
GUGAAACAGGAUGGAUCAGAGUUGGAGGAUACUAUAUGUUUGCUUGAUUUACAAUGGAAAAGUUCCAUGUCUGUGAUGAACGGAAAGAUUGACUUUUUCAUCUUACGCAAUAUACAAAAAUGAACUCCGGGUGGAUUUGAGCAUUAAUUCAAAUAUAAAACCACGGAAUAACUAGAUCUACAGUAGUAUCUAUCAGCCUGAAUAAUGAAGUAAACUGAGUCAAGCUUGAAGUACCAGAAAUUGAGUUCAUUCCAGAACAGCAGAAGAAUUACAAUUGGGAAAUGCCAACUGCACCAACCCAGGCUCAAGUCUGUAGAGGGUCCGCAGCGGGAGCCCAGCCGCAGUUCAAGCGAAAGCAGAAGAGAAAACAAAACAAAACAAAAGAAAACCUCAAUAUCUAAGGGACAGCAGAAACAGGAAGCGCUUCUAGAGCAGAGCUGUCAUCCUUUCCUGGAAGCUGCUGCUCAGUAGCCUGUCUCCAGCGAAACUGCUAAUGGUGACAACACAGGCAGAUUCUGGAAGGGGAACUCAAGGAUUCACAGGUCAGACAUGUCUGUUAACAGCAUGGUGAGUCCCUUUUGACGUUGGAAAGAGAAGGAAUUAGGACUGUUAAAUUUUAUAUAUAUUCUUCACUAGCUGGAUUAAAAAAAAUCCCAGGUUUUGAUACUGAGGUUCUAGAAACUCUAGGAAGAGGCUUCUUCCAG